Molecule: ribosomal RNA, 403 nt
Filed under: Verrucomicrobiota bacterium
Lineage: Bacteria; Pseudomonadati; Verrucomicrobiota
Description: Verrucomicrobia bacterium partial 16S ribosomal RNA
Rfam family: Bacterial small subunit ribosomal RNA
Source: RNAcentral
UGGGGAAUAUUGCACAAUGGGGGAAACCCUGAUGCAGCGACGCCGCGUGAGCGAAGAAGGUUUUCCAAUCGUAAAGCUCUGUCCUAUGAGAAGAUAAUGACGGUAUCAUAGGAGGAAGCCCCGGCUAAAUACGUGCCAGCAGCCGCGGUAAUACGUAUGGGGCGAGCGUUGUCCGGAAUUAUUGGGCGUAAAGGGUACGUAGGCGGUCUAUUAAGUCAGGUGUGAAAGCGUGAGGCUUAACCUCAUUAAGCACUUGAAACUGAUAGACUUGAGUGAAGGAGAGGAAAGUGGAAUUCCUAGUGUAGCGGUGAAAUGCGUAGAUAUUAGAAGGAAUACCGGUGGCGAAGGCGACUUUCUGGACUUUUACUGACGCUCAGGUACGAAAGCGUGGGGAGCAAACAGG